This is a small nuclear RNA of Scleropages formosus (Asian bonytongue), 101 nucleotides long. NCBI's taxonomy places the organism in Eukaryota, Metazoa, Chordata, Actinopteri, Osteoglossiformes, Osteoglossidae. The record is from Ensembl.
GCUGUGGCAGCACAUCGUGUAUUAAAAUUGGAACGAUACAGAGAUCAGCAUGGCCCCUGCGCAAGGAUGACACAUAAAUUCGUGAAGCAUUCCCUAGUUGU